This 469-nucleotide ribosomal RNA is filed under the name Lagynochthonius australicus. RNAcentral's name for it is "bacterial SSU rRNA". It matches the Rfam family "Eukaryotic small subunit ribosomal RNA", at positions 105 to 555 of the family's 1831-position model. Lineage: Eukaryota; Metazoa; Arthropoda; Arachnida; Pseudoscorpiones; Chthoniidae. The record is from RNAcentral.
AUCAGUUAUGGUUCCUUAGAUGGUACUUUUUACUUGGAUAACUGUGGUAAUUCUAGAGCUAAUACAUGCAAUUGAGCUCCGAUCUUUCCUUCCGGGGACGAGUGACGAGUGCUUUUAUUAGACCAAGACCGAUCGGCAGAGAUGUCGUAAAUCGUGGUGACUCUGGAUAACUAUAGCGGAUCGCACGGCUCUAACGCCGGCGACGCAUCUUUCAAGUGUCUGCCUUAUCAACUUUCGAUGGUAGGUUAUGUGCCUACCAUGGUUGUUACGGGUAACGGGGAAUCAGGGUUCGAUUCCGGAGAGGGAGCCUGAGAAACGGCUACCACAUCCAAGGAAGGCAGCAGGCGCGCAAAUUACCCACUCCCGGUACGGGGAGGUAGUGACGAAAAAUAACAAUACGGGACUCUAUCGAGUUCCCGUAAUUGGAAUGAGUACACUCUAAACCUUUUAACAAGGAUCAAUUGGAGGA